Molecule: ribosomal RNA, 303 nt
Filed under: uncultured bacterium
Lineage: Bacteria
Description: partial 16S ribosomal RNA
Rfam family: Bacterial small subunit ribosomal RNA
Source: RNAcentral
AGCAGUCGCCGCGGUAAUACGAAGGGGGCUAGCGUUGUUCGGAUUUACUGGGCGUAAAGGGCGCGUAGGCGGACUGAUAAGUCAGGGGUGAAAUCCUAAGGCUCAACCUUGGAACUGCCUUUGAUACUGUUUGUCUUGAGUUCGAGAGAGGUAAGUGGAACUGCGAGCGUAGAGGUGAAAUUCGUAGAUAUUCGCAAGAACACCAGUGGCGAAGGCGGCUUACUGGCUCGAAACUGACGCUGAGGCGCGAAAGCGUGGGGAGCAAACAGGAUUAGAUACCCCCGUAGUCCCUGUCUCUUAUAC